RNAcentral lists this ribosomal RNA (446 nucleotides) under uncultured microorganism. RNAcentral's name for it is "bacterial SSU rRNA". It matches the Rfam family "Bacterial small subunit ribosomal RNA", at positions 346 to 780 of the family's 1533-position model. The record is from RNAcentral.
GCGCAGCAGGCGCGAAAUAGUCUACAAUGGACGAAAGUCUGAUAGUGCGACGCCGUGUGUGCGAUUAAUUCCUUCGGGAUGUAAAGCACUUUUCUAUGAGAUAAAAGCUCUUUAGGUUAAUAGCUUAUUGAGACGGAUAUUAUUAUAGGAAUAAGCUCCGGCUAACUCCGUGCCAGCAGCCGCGGUAAUACGGAAGGAGCGAGCGUUGUCCGGAUUUACUAGGCGUAAAGGGCUAGUAGGCGACUAAUUAAGUUAUAUGUUAAAUCCCACGGCUCAACUGUGGUCCUGCAUGUAAUACUGGUUAGAUAGAGUACUGUAGAGGAAGGCAGAAUUCCUGGAGUAGCGGUGGAAUGCGCAGAUAUCAGGAAGAAUAACCAAAAGCGAAGGCAGCCUUCUGGGCAGUUACUGACGCUGAAUAGCGAAGGUGUGGGUAGCGAACAGGAUUA